AUUAAGUAUUUUGAGAAUGUAACCAAAUUUAAAUAUUUAUUUAAGUUCUUAAGAAUUAACUAAAAGUUAUUAGAAACCCACUAAUUGGACUUCAAAUAAUUGAAAUGGCAUAGAUGAGUUCAACGAUUCCUCGUCGAUGUGAGAUUGUAAGAUAGUAUGAAGAGUAUUGGUGGAAUCCAGUGCAUGAUAUGGGCCGACAUAUUGAAGAGAUGUUAGUAAGGUGGAAGGAGGUGAGGCAACUAGGCCAUAUGAUCACUGGUCGUGAGGCUACCUGCCUCCUUAUUGAUACCUUGCUAGAAGAAUGGCUACAAGUGGUCGAAUCGAUUAAUAAUUAUUUAUGGACAGUUGCUAUGCCAACCUUGCCUCGAGAGAUUGAAUAUGAGGUCUUCUGUGCAGAGCUGACGGUACAGUGGGGACAGGCCUGAGAUGAUGCACUUGCAAACCCUGAGGAGAAUAGUUUACCUACUUAGAUGUACAUUCAUGAAGAUGCACCUCCACCUUUUUUAGACGAUGAGGCGUAGCCUUCCAAGAAACCUAGAUUUUAUGAAGACUGGAUUAGUGACGAUGAUGGCGAGGAUGAGUAGUGAUGUCUUAGUAGAUUUUAUUAGGUUUAGUUCUUGUUUAUGUCAAGUAAGAUUUAUUUUGCUUUCCAGUUGAUUUGCGUCGAACACUCUUUUAUUAUUUUGUAUUUCUCUUAAUUAUGUUAUCAUUUACCUUUUUCGCUUGAUUAUGUUAAAAUAUAUUUAUUGCUCAUUAGUGAAAAUGUCAAGGUUUUAUUUUCG
Molecule: long non-coding RNA, 782 nt
Filed under: Olea europaea subsp. europaea
Lineage: Eukaryota; Viridiplantae; Streptophyta; Magnoliopsida; Lamiales; Oleaceae
Source: RNAcentral